AGUGAACGCUGGCGGUAGGCCUAACACAUGCAAGUCGAACGGCAGCACAGUAAUUGCUUGCUCUUACGGGUGGCGAGUGGCGGACGGGUUAGGAAUACAUCGGAAUCUACUUUUUCGUGUGUGAUAACGUAGGUAAACUUACGCUAAUACCGCAUCCGUCCUACGGGUGAAAGCAUUGGAUCUUCUGACCUUGCGCGUUUGAUUGAGCCGAUGUCGGAUUAGCUAGUUGGCUGGGUAAAGGCCCACCAAGGCGACGAUCCGUAGCUGGUCUGAGAGGAUGAUCAGCAAAACUGGAAGUGAGAAAGGGACAAGAAACCAAGGGGAGGAAGCAGUGGGAAAUAGUGGAAAAGGGGCGAAAGACUGAACAAGAAAUACCGCGUGGGUGAAGAAAGCAUUCGGGUUGUAAAGCCCUUUUGUUGGGAAAGAAAAGAAGCAGGUUAAUAAACCGCUGUUCUGAGGGUACCAAAAGAAUAAGCACCGGCUAACAUCGU
RNAcentral lists this ribosomal RNA (491 nucleotides) under uncultured bacterium. Its description in RNAcentral is "partial 16S ribosomal RNA". It matches the Rfam family "Bacterial small subunit ribosomal RNA", at positions 29 to 506 of the family's 1533-position model. The record is from RNAcentral.